RNAcentral lists this ribosomal RNA (253 nucleotides) under uncultured bacterium. RNAcentral describes it as "partial 16S ribosomal RNA". It matches the Rfam family "Bacterial small subunit ribosomal RNA", at positions 524 to 776 of the family's 1533-position model. The record is from RNAcentral.
UACGGAGGGGGCUAGCGUUGUUCGGAAUUACUGGGCGUAAAGCGUACGUAGGCGGCUUUGUAAGUUAGAGGUGAAAGCCCGGGGCUCAACCCCGGAAUUGCCUUUAAGACUGCAUCGCUUGAACGUCGGAGAGGUGAGUGGAAUUCCGAGUGUAGAGGUGAAAUUCGUAGAUAUUCGCAAGAACACCAGUGGCGAAGGCGGCUCACUGGUCCGGUACUGACGCUGAGGUGCGAAAGCGUGGGGAGCAAACAGG